This 566-nucleotide ribosomal RNA is filed under the name fungal sp. AM2013. RNAcentral's name for it is "eukaryotic LSU rRNA". The stretch from base 190 to 343 matches the Rfam family "5.8S ribosomal RNA". The record is from RNAcentral. Lineage: Eukaryota; Fungi.
UCCCAAACCCAAUGUGAACGUUACCAAACUGUUGCCUCGGCGGGAUCUCUGCCCCGGGUGCGUCGCAGCCCCGGACCAAGGCGCCCGCCGGAGGACCAACCAAAACUCUUAUUGUAUACCCCCUCGCGGGUUUUUUUUAUAAUCUGAGCCUUCUCGGCGCCUCUCGUAGGCGUUUCGAAAAUGAAUCAAAACUUUCAACAACGGAUCUCUUGGUUCUGGCAUCGAUGAAGAACGCAGCGAAAUGCGAUAAGUAAUGUGAAUUGCAGAAUUCAGUGAAUCAUCGAAUCUUUGAACGCACAUUGCGCCCGCCAGUAUUCUGGCGGGCAUGCCUGUCCGAGCGUCAUUUCAACCCUCGAACCCCUCCGGGGGGUCGGCGUUGGGGAUCGGCCCUCCCUUAGCGGGUGGCCGUCUCCGAAAUACAGUGGCGGUCUCGCCGCAGCCUCUCCUGCGCAGUAGUUUGCACACUCGCAUCGGGAGCGCGGCGCGUCCACAGCCGUUAAACACCCAACUUCUGAAAUGUUGACCUCGGAUCAGGUAGGAAUACCCGCUGAACUUAAGCAUAUCAA